RNAcentral lists this ribosomal RNA (399 nucleotides) under uncultured bacterium. RNAcentral's name for it is "bacterial SSU rRNA". It matches the Rfam family "Bacterial small subunit ribosomal RNA", at positions 28 to 420 of the family's 1533-position model. The record is from RNAcentral.
GACGAACGCUGGCGGCGCGCUUAACACAUGCAAGUCGAGCGAGAACCAGGGCUUCGGCCCUGGGGAAAGCGGCGAACGGGUGAGUAACACGUGAGUAACCUGUCCUCGGCACCGGGAUAGCCCGGGGAAACCCGGAUUAAUACCGGAUGGCCUUUCGAGUCUUCGGGCUCGUCAGAAAAGGUAGCUUCGGCCUCCGGCCGAGGAGGGACUCGCGGCGGAUUAGCUUGUUGGUGAGGUAACGGCUCACCAAGGCGACGAUCCGUAGCUGGUCUGAGAGGACGAUCAGCCACACUGGGACUGAGACACGGCCCAGACUCCUACGGGAGGCAGCAGUGGGGAAUCUUGCGCAAUGGGCGAAAGCCUGACGCAGCGACGCCGCGUGCGGGAAGAAGGCCUCGG